Leclercia adecarboxylata is the source of this 309-nucleotide non-coding RNA. The record is from Rfam. Lineage: Bacteria; Pseudomonadati; Pseudomonadota; Gammaproteobacteria; Enterobacterales; Enterobacteriaceae.
AAUGGCGGGUGCUGGCGUUCGCGCCGCUAACCUGGAAACGUUUUUACAGGCAGGGGUAGAAGAGCUUCACAGCUCGGCAGGCAAAUGGUUGCCGUCACCCAUGCGCUAUCGCAACACAGGCUUGUCGAUGUCGACGGAUGCCGAAGCGGAUGAAUAUUCCCGCUAUGGCGUCGAUGGCGAGUCGGUUGCAGAGAUGAAGGCGAUAAUCGAAAGGUUUAGCCGCUGAAACAGUUUUUACCGCGCAUCAUGUCGCCCAAUAUGAUGCUUGUUUGUACCAGGCCCCUGCAAUUUCAACAGGGGUCUUUUUUU